Non-coding RNA from Pantherophis guttatus, 2948 nucleotides. The record is from RefSeq and is a predicted model, not a curated record. NCBI's taxonomy places the organism in Eukaryota, Metazoa, Chordata, Lepidosauria, Squamata, Colubridae.
GCAGUAAAGUUGUGAUUCAGAGAAUAUGCAUGGAGGAUUUAUAUGAACAAAAUCUAAACUUGGAAAGUCAGCUCCACUUCCUUAAGUGGCUGGGUUUCCCCCAGAGAGUGGUGUCCAUGGCAUGGAACCAGGAGGAGAGGUCAAAAGAGGCAAGAUAUGAAGUGUGUCAUCAGUGGUGGGUUGCUCCCGGUUCGGUCUGGUUCUUGCGAAACAGUAGUAAUGCCGGUAGGAGGCUCCGCCCACCCGGCCGGACAUCAUCACUGACAAUCUGCACACGUGCAGAAGCGUGUGCUCCGGUUGCAAACCGGUAGCGGAGCUGCAGUGCAGAUUCUCACCGUGGUCCCAUCAACUGCAACAUAAACCUUGGAUCGACUGGAAUAGACCUCAAUGUCCAGAACUUUUCUGCUAUUGAUAGGCCGCCGAGGGAUCUCUAGCUUCUGCAAACUUUCAUCUAGGAAAUGAGACAGCACCAUAUUUCAGAUUCUUAUGGACAUACGUUUAAUGCUUUUAUCCUGUAGUAAUCUCUCCAUAAAUUAUGAUCAUUCUGAAAGGCCUUCUGUAUGCAGAUGGCCCUCAGUUAGCAACUACCUCCGACAGUGACCAUUCACUGUUAUGACAGUAAUGAAAAAAUAACUUUGUGACCAUUUCUCACAUUUACGACCUUCUCGGGUUUAUAAAACAAAGGAAAGCUGAAAUAAGAUUGUAAGCAUAGUUGGGAUGUCACUUAGUGACUGCUUUGCUUAAAAACCAAAUUGCCAGUCCCAAAUGUGAUUGCCAAACGAGGACUAGCUUUUAUACCACGAGGUAUGGUGAGGUUAAUUCAUGAAAGCACAGAUAGAACAUUUGAUGUGGAAGCAUGUAGAAUUAUCUCCCAAAGGACAUCAUGUUAUCUAUAUAAAAAACAAACUAACAUUUUCCUUCCAUUUAGCUUUUAACAGCCUGCAGCAUUAAAGACUUCAACUGAGUAUUACUUGAUUUUAAAAUUCUAGUUGUAAUGAUUACCUAGUUAAACUACUUUUAGUUUUAGACUAGUCAGUUUUCAUUUGUAAAUACAAGAAAUCCAGUUCUUCCAGUUCUUCUUCCCUUUGACAAAAAAAUUGACAGAAGUCAGAAUAUAAACCAUGGCCUACUUGCUUAAUUUUACCUGAAAAUGUUUAAGAUCUGGAAGGUAUCACCAGUCCAUUGUUACAUAUAUUUCCUGAAGAAAUAGUGUCUUUCUCUUUCUAAACUAUCAAAAACUAUUUUGUGAGCAAAACUAUCAAAAAUUUAGACCAUGUUCAAUGCUGCUAUAACUAGGAAUAUGGGAUGGGAUUCACUGGUCAGUAAUGUUGCGUGGAAAAUUCCAUUCUCCAAUCACAGAACAGUCUACAUUUCCUAGAACAUUCCAUUUCUCCCAGAAAGUGACUAUAAAUCACACAGUACAUUCUAAUACCACCAUCUAAUCACAUUUCCUGCUCACCAUAAUCCUGAGCUGAUUCUUCUUCUUCACUAGCUGCUCUUCUAGUGUCCAAGAUCAACUUUAUGUUCACAAUAACAGUUACCAGCAAGAAAAGGACUGCCCCCAUCUGUAAGACAAAAGUCUCCUUUAUUAGAUUAGGAAAAAAUAGAUUUGGAAAACCUGAUGCUUAAAAUGCCUACAUGAUGAAAACAUAGAUUUUUAUGCUAGACAUAACAGGAAGGACACAGCACUGGAAAAGUGAAUGACAAGAGUUUUUGGACUUCUUUGUCGAACUCUCCCAUUGUUCUUUUGGGAUGAAAUUUAGUUCCUGCUUCCACUUACCCCUAUUUUCUUCUUUUUAAAAAAUGUCUCAUUUUGUGUAUUGGCAGGCUUUUUUAUCCUUGUGUAUCAUGUACUUCCUUUAUUGGUGGUGGACUUUAGGAGAAACCCUCCCAUACUGCCACCUCUUACAAUACUAGACAACACAGUAUCAACAGUAGAGACCUUCAAAUUUCUAGGUUCUAUCAUAUUGCAAGACCAAAAAUGGAUACCUAACAUCAAAAACGUCAUCAAAAAGCACAACAAAGAAUGUUCUUUCUGUGCCAACUCAGGAAGCUCAAACUGCCCAAGGAGCUGCUGAUCCAGUUCUACAGAGGAAUUAUUGAGUCUGUCAUCUGCACCUCCAAAACUGCCUGGUUUGGCUCUGCAACCAAACCAGACAGACACAGACUUCAAAGGAUAAUUAGAACUGCAGAAAAAACAAUUACUACCAACCUGCCUUCCAUUGAGGACCUGUAUACUACACGAGUCAAAAAGGGCUGUGAAAAUAUUUACAGAUGCAUUCUGGACAUAAAUUGUUUCAACUCCUUCCCUCAAAAUGACACUAUAGAGCACUGCAUACCAAGACAACUAGACACAAGAACAGCUUUUUCCCAAACGCCAUCACUCUGCUAAACAAAUAAUUCCCUCAAGCUGUCAAAGUAUUCACUAAGGCUGCAUUACUAUUACUAUUCGUCUUCUCACCGUUCCUAUCACCCAUCUUCUCCCACUUAUGACGGCAUGACUAUAACUUUGUUGCUUGUAUCCUUACGAUUUAUAUUGAUAUUGUUUCCUGAGUGCUUAUUUGUACCCUAUGACUAUCAUUAAGUGUUGCACCUUAUGAUUCUUGACAAAUGUAUCUUGUCUUUUUAUAUUCACUGAGAGCAUAUGCACCAAAGACAAAUUCCUUGUGUGUCCAAUCACACUUGGCCAAUAAAGAAUGCUAUGCUAUGCUAUUCUAUGCUAUUCUAUGCUAUUCUAUGCUAUUCUAUUCUAUUCUAUUCUAUUCUAUUCUAUUCUAUUCUAUUCUAUUCUAUUCUAUUCUAGGAUGAAAUAGUGGAAAAUAUUCAGUGUCCUGCACGUUAUAUCCAGAUUUCUACAGUAAGUAGCCAGUUGUUUAUUCCUUAAAACCAAAUGUUGACUUUUGGUGAUAGAAAUAAAUUUUUGGAUUAAGCGUCACAUGACAUAAAUA